ACUACAAGUUUGAUCGACAUAUAGCUGCUCUAAUUGAGAUGGAAGAUGCUAAGAAGCUGUUCAAUGAUUGUUGGAAUACAAAGAAUGAUGCUUUGAAAGAGACUCUGUCUGCUACCUCUCAAUGUCAUUUGGACACGAAAGGGAAGUCAAAGGUUGUCUGUGGUGAUGAAACUGUUUCUCCAAAGGUUUAUAUGAACUAAUAACAUAAUUUAAUAUUUUUUUUCAGUAUGUA
Molecule: long non-coding RNA, 232 nt
Organism: Helianthus annuus (common sunflower)
Lineage: Eukaryota; Viridiplantae; Streptophyta; Magnoliopsida; Asterales; Asteraceae
Exons: 3
Source: RefSeq, a predicted model, not a curated record